Molecule: unclassified non-coding RNA, 364 nt
Filed under: soil metagenome
Description: partial contains 5.8S ribosomal RNA, internal transcribed spacer 2, and large subunit ribosomal RNA
Rfam family: 5.8S ribosomal RNA (bases 4-119)
Source: RNAcentral
GAUAAGAACGUAGCGAAAUGCGAUAAGUAAUGUGAAUUGCAGAAUUCAGUGAAUCAUCGAAUCUUUGAACGCACAUUGCGCCCGCCAGCAUUCUGGCGGGCAUGCCUGUUCGAGCGUCAUUUCAACCCUCGCAGCCCAUCUGGGCAGCGGUGUUGGGGACCGGCACCACCGGCGAAGCCCUUAGGGGCCCAGCCGGCGCCGCCCCCGAAAUACAGUGGCGGUCUCGCUGCAGCCUCCCUUGCGUAGUAGCACACCUCGCACCGGAGCGCAGCGCGGCCACGCCGUAAAACCCCCGACUUUCUGAGUUUGACCUCGAAUCAGGUAGGAAUACCCGCUGAACUUAAGCAUAUCAAUAAGCGGAGGA